GGCAGGAGAUGUUUAAAAGUAUGGAGAAGACUACGAUUGGCGAGGAGUGCCUACCAUCGACGCUGAAGUUGUGCAUUCUAUUGGAGGAAAGGCGCAUGCACGAUAUUAAUUUGUGAAUUUUUUUCAAUAAUAUUGGAACUAUGACCGAAUAACUAAUUUUCUUGUUUUUCAAAAUAUUCUAUGUUUAUCGGUGUGAUCGAUUCGACGGAGUUGCGUUCUCGUGGCGGCUCUUCGUCGCAGGUGGGUUGUGGUAGUAGCAGUCGUAGUCGGUGCUCUGUAUCUAACAUGGAGGAACUAUGAGGGAGCAGUAAGAAAAGUUUCAUGAAGAGCUGCGGCAACAACAAAUGGCAUUCCUCCAACAACAAUCGGAGUACAUGGCUACUUACAACGCACAGGCUCAACAAGCAAUGAACUCUUGAUUUCCAGAGCAGGCACAACAGCAACCAUUUGUUUUCCCUCAAUUUCAGUCGUCGAUGUCUCAGUGAGGAUUACAUGCUCCGCCACCUCCACCUCAGGGAUCCGGGGUCAUGGGCCAUAACACGCCACCACCGGUUAUACCAGCACCAGUAGGAGCUUAUGCAAUGGAGGGAGCUACUUCAGGAGAGAAUCCAGACCCGUUACACGACUUCGUCAACGAGUUUUUCGCUUCUGGAGGUAGUGUUCACAACUCCAACGACCCCAAUAUGUGAUGGUUUGAGUUUUGUGCCGAAUUGUGCGUUGUAAUAGACUAUUUGUGAACUUUAUGUUGUAUGGACUAUUUGUGAACUCUGAUGUUGUAAUGGACUCCAACUUUAUAUUGUGGACUAUUUGUGAAUU
This is a long non-coding RNA of Zea mays, 816 nucleotides long. RefSeq lists it as uncharacterized. The record is from RefSeq and is a predicted model, not a curated record. Lineage: Eukaryota; Viridiplantae; Streptophyta; Magnoliopsida; Poales; Poaceae. The transcript is spliced from 4 exons.